UCUGGAUGACAGGGACGUAACGGUCCCCUUACUUCGGUACAUCCAAGACAGGUGGUGCAUGGUUGUCGUCAGCUCGUGUCGUGAGAUGUUGGGUUAAGUCCCGCAACGAGCGCAACCCUUAUCUUCAGUAGCCAGCAGGUAAAGCCGGGCACUCUGGAGAGACUGCCGGGGAUAACCCGGAGGAAGGUGGGGAUGACGUCAAAUCAUCAUGCCCCUUAUGAUUUGGGCUACACACGUGCUACAAUGGCGUAAACAGAGGGAAGCGAGCCCGCGAGGGGGAGCAAAUCCCAAAAAUAACGUCCCAGUUCGGAUUGUAGUCUGCAACCCGACUACAUGAAGCUGGAAUCGCUAGUAAUCGCGGAUCAGAAUGCCGCGGUGAAUACGUUCCCGGGUCUUGUACACACCGCCCGUCACACCAUGGGAGUCGGAAAUGCCCGAAGUCUGUGACCUAACCGUAAGGGAGGAGCAGCCGAAGGCAGGUCGGAUGACUGGGGUGAAGUCGUAACAAGGUAGCCGUAUCGGAAGGUGCGGUUGGAUCACCUC
This 543-nucleotide ribosomal RNA is filed under the name uncultured bacterium. RNAcentral describes it as "bacterial SSU rRNA". It matches the Rfam family "Bacterial small subunit ribosomal RNA", at positions 987 to 1529 of the family's 1533-position model. The record is from RNAcentral.